RNAcentral lists this ribosomal RNA (208 nucleotides) under uncultured bacterium. RNAcentral's name for it is "partial 16S ribosomal RNA". It matches the Rfam family "Bacterial small subunit ribosomal RNA", at positions 524 to 734 of the family's 1533-position model. The record is from RNAcentral.
UACGAGGGGUCCUAGCGUUGUUCGGAAUCACUGGGCGUAAAGCGUAUGUAGGCGGACUUUUAAGUCAGGUGUGAAAUCCCAUGGCUCAACCUGGAAUUGCAUUUGAAACUGAAAAGUCUUGAGUGUGGGAGAGAUUGGUAGAAUACCUGGUGUAGUGGUGAAAUACGUAGAUAUCAGGUGGAAUACCGGUGGCGAAGGCGCAAUGGCC